GCCGUUAAACCAAACGACAAUGACAACAGCUCCGAGGAGCUCUGAACGGUGAACCUGUCAAAGAGAAGACUACGGAAUGCACACAAUGUGCUGUAUUUAUGACAAAUGGCGCAAAGAAACAGUUGCUGCAGCAGUUACAGAUGAAAACUACGGGUGAAUUCGACUCAGCAGCGGUGGCAGGCAUGCAGCAGGGACUUGCGUCAGGCGUAGACA
Molecule: long non-coding RNA, 213 nt
Organism: Ostrinia furnacalis (Asian corn borer)
Lineage: Eukaryota; Metazoa; Arthropoda; Insecta; Lepidoptera; Crambidae
Exons: 3
Source: RefSeq, a predicted model, not a curated record